CGUCAGAGCCUUCACAAGUUCACGUCCACCAGAGGCUUUGCCAAGGGUUGCUCCUGGAGGGGUCUCCCUCAGCUGCUUAUUAAAUUACCCCAUCUCCAAGAAGUAGGCAUCCUUGAGUUCAUUUUCCCUGAUGGGAAAACUGAAGAUCAGACAGAGGAAAUCAUUAGUGCCGGUCUCAUGGCUGAUUCGUGGAAGCGUCGAGAAUUAUCAAAGCGUGACAGCUGGGGCUACGAAAAGAGGGACAAUGACAUCCCUGGUUUUCGUCCUCUCUCCACGGCCAGCACAGCCCCAGACAUUCUGCGCGUGCGCACACCAGUUCGGUCCCGGGUCCCA
Long non-coding RNA from Neogale vison (American mink), 333 nucleotides. RefSeq lists it as uncharacterized. The record is from RefSeq and is a predicted model, not a curated record. NCBI's taxonomy places the organism in Eukaryota, Metazoa, Chordata, Mammalia, Carnivora, Mustelidae. The transcript has 3 exons.